Non-coding RNA from Cricetulus griseus (Chinese hamster), 2009 nucleotides. NCBI's taxonomy places the organism in Eukaryota, Metazoa, Chordata, Mammalia, Rodentia, Cricetidae. The record is from RefSeq and is a predicted model, not a curated record.
UGUACAAAAGCCUGAAAUUUAAAAAAAAGAGAAAAUCCCUGAUUAACCCUGAUCAAUGGGAAUAUAGGAAAGUUAGCAUUAAGUCCAAAUUUAGAAAAGAGAUGUGGACCUCUUCAUUCACAGUAAAUAAGUCUCCAGGGAUGGCUUUUCACUUCUGCAAGUAACACCACUUGGCAGGACAGCUUUUCUUUAUUUUUCUUUUUUCUCUUAAAGUUUAUUAAUUCUUUGUAGAUUUCAUUCUAUGCAUCCCAUUCCCAUUGCUUUCCCUAUCCCUUCAAAUGUGCCCUCUCCUAUUGCAAUCCCCCUUCCCCCAAAUAAAACAAAUGAGUCACACAGUAAACCCUUUUUCCAAAUAUAUUUACUGGCGAGUGUUAAUUGCAUUGAGUCAUUGGUCAGGCUUGACGUCUCUGGCUUCUGUUACAAUAUAAAUACUGGGACCUUCCUGUGAUUCUUUUUGGAUAUCAUGCUGUUGCCAUAUGUAAUGAAGAUCUCACAGCUUUGGAUCUGCAGGACAAUUCGCUAACCAGGAUCUAGCAGUUCAUAGAUAGUUUUUUUUUUUUUUUGUUUGUUUGUUUGUUUGUUUUUGUGAUGUUCUAACUCAUUGCCCUUAUUUUGUGUCUGGGUGAUAGCUGGGUUCCUCAGACUACCAGUUUUCCUUCACCCUUACCACAAGGGUGAGCUCCUCAGCACUGCCUUGACUAUGUCCCCUAAUGCAGAAGGUAGCAAGGGAUGGGCCAGUUCUUCUGUUCUCAUACCUUUAGAGGCAGGCUCACCCACACCCACACUGCCAGGUCCAGCUCUACAGUGGCACCCAGGCAAGGUUCAGGGUCCACUUUCCCAAGUGCUGAAACUGGUGACAGGCUGGACAAACUUUCCAGUUCUCAUGCUACCAAGGCCAGCUCUCCCACCUGGAACAAACAGCAAGGGACCAGACAGAAGAGCUGGAGUAUGUUCAGCUCUCCCGCUCUCAAUAUUUGAGGCCAGCUCACCGGCAACCCUGUAUUUGAGGCCAUCUCAAUGGCACCCCUUCCAACAGGGUCAGCACUAUUGUGCUGUCCAAGCAGGUGCAGAGCCUGAUCUACCAGUCUCAUGACCCUAGUGUCAGCAAUCCUGUCUGCAACAGGUGGCAAGGGUUGAGGAGAAAGGAAUGAGGAGGGCAUCUCUCCCUCACACAUAUACUGUUGCAGGACAGACAAGAAGUGGGGACAUCUCUCCUACACUCAUGUUCUUGGUCCAGAUCAACUGGACCCCAUCAACAGGGUCAAUUCUACUAUAUUGUUUGGGUGAGUUGCAAAGGCCACUCAAGAUUCAGGGCCUGCUCUCCUGAGUUCUGUACCUGAUGAAGGGAGAGUUAGUUUUCCCUAGUGCUUACACCCAGGGAGGGGUAGGAACAACUCUGCAACCUUAUCCUCACAGCCUUCAGGGGUAAUGGGAGCCAGGGUCAUCAAUAUACACUGAAGAUGGGAUAGGUCAAAGGACCCAGACAAGGCACUUGGCAGGAGCUCAGACCCAGACAUCACCAUGGACUUGGAUGGAAAUCAGGUCUUAAGGAAUUUGGCUGGCAUUCGAUGGGGGAUUGCAUUGAAUCUGUAGAUUGAUUUAUCAAACAUCACAAAAAGACAAACGAUGAAUGAAGAAAUAUCUUCACGAUGCAGGAAAAACAUUACUGAAGGAGAGACACUGCACCACAAUUGAUUUGAACAACAAAGAAAGUUAAGUUAAAAUUUUAAAAAUGACAAAAGGCAUUUGUAUUAAAUUAAUGAGGAUGUACAAAUUUAUGAAGAAGGGAAUAUUUUAUGUUUCCUAGGACUUAGAAUAAAAUUGGAGCAUACUAGGAUAGAAGAAAAGACAUGCAUUUAAAGGGGACACCACAUGGGUUAUAAAGGACAUUUGAGAUCAUGGCUAUCUUCUGCACAUGCUCACCUGGUAGCUGGCAUGUACAACAGAGAUCCGUAGCAGAGCAGUAUAAGUCAAUUCAUCUCACCCACUUGGCUGAGUCUGACUUCAUC